UUGAACGCUGGCGGCAGGCCUAACACAUGCAAGUCGAACGGUAACAGGGAUCAGCUUGCUGAUUCGCUGACGAGUGGCGGACGGGUGAGUAAUGUCUGGGAAACUGCCUGAUGGAGGGGGAUAACUACUGGAAACGGUAGCUAAUACCGCAUAACGUCGCAAGACCAAAGAGGGGGACCUUCGGGCCUCUUGCCAUCGGAUGUGCCCAGAUGGGAUUAGCUAGUAGGUGGGGUAACGGCUCACCUAGGCGACGAUCCCUAGCUGGUCUGAGAGGAUGACCAGCCCCACUGGAACUGAGACACGGUCCAGGCUCCUACGAGAGGGAGCAGUGGGGAAUAUUGCACAAUGGGCGCAAGCCUGAUGCAGCCAUGCCGCGUGUAUGAAGAAGGCCUUCGGGUUGUAAAGUACUUUCAGCGGGGAGGAAGGGAGUAAAGUUAAUACCUUUGCUCAUUGACGUUACCCGCAGAAGAAGCACCGGCUAACUCCGUG
This 489-nucleotide ribosomal RNA is filed under the name uncultured bacterium. RNAcentral's name for it is "partial 16S ribosomal RNA". It matches the Rfam family "Bacterial small subunit ribosomal RNA", at positions 30 to 507 of the family's 1533-position model. The record is from RNAcentral.